RNAcentral lists this ribosomal RNA (411 nucleotides) under Actinomycetes bacterium. Its description in RNAcentral is "Actinobacteria bacterium partial 16S ribosomal RNA". It matches the Rfam family "Bacterial small subunit ribosomal RNA", at positions 355 to 776 of the family's 1533-position model. The record is from RNAcentral. Lineage: Bacteria; Bacillati; Actinomycetota; Actinomycetes.
UGGGGAAUAUUGCACAAUGGGCGCAAGCCUGAUGCAGCGACGCCGCGUGGGGGAUGACGGCCUUCGGGUUGUAAACUCCUUUCGCUAGGGACGAAGCUCUUUGUGACGGUACCUAGAUAAGAAGCACCGGCUAACUACGUGCCAGCAGCCGCGGUAAUACGUAGGGUGCGAGCGUUGUCCGGAAUUACUGGGCGUAAAGGGCUCGUAGGUGGUUUGUCGCGUCGUCUGUGAAAUUCCGGGGCUUAACUCCGGGCGUGCAGGCGAUACGGGCAUAACUUGAGUACUGUAGGGGUAACUGGAAUUCCGGGUGUAGCGGUGAAAUGCGCAGAUAUCAGGAGGAACACCGAUGGCGAAGGCAGGUUACUGGGCAGUUACUGACGCUGAGGAGCGAAAGCAUGGGUAGCGAACAGG